GAGGUAAGGCCCUGAAAAUACUGUGGCCCAGAAUUUGCCCACUCCUCCUACGGAAGCAUUUUGUUGAAAACCUAGGAAUGGACUCGGAAAUGGACAGCUCACCGCCAGUCCCUUCCGCGCAAGAAAAAUAUAAGCUCCACUUCCACUUCCAGUCAUUAUGGAGUGACAGUGACCCAAUUUGCCCUACUGCAUGAAACUAUUAAUACAUAACACUUGGACAAAAUAUAUGAAACAAUGGUUUUUGGACAUUUGACAUAAAGGAAUGCAGAACCGUAAUCCCUGAAUGCAAAAUACAAACUGAGCUCUCUGAGUGCCCCAGCUGCUACGCCUGUAGUACAAGAAAAGGAAAUCCAGGCAGACUUUGAUGCUCUUCUUGAGUUGAAGAGAUGAAGCUGGGAGUCCAGACAGGCCCAGGUUUAGCAAAGCAGAUACCAAAGAGAAGAGAGAUGCACAGAGAGAGAGAGAUGCAAAGGAUCUCUCCAGUCUUCAGCUCCAUAAUGCUAAACACUGGUGUAUGAAGAAACUACUUGAAUGGGGUGGAGAUGGGGCAUUGAAGAAAUCACUUGCACAGAGCAAAGGAAGCAAAGGAAUUAUCAUAAUCCUCAGGACUCAAGCAGUGCCAGGAAUACUAAUGUUCCCAUCAGCCGAGUGGAAAACCCUGCAAAUCACAGGACAUUGGCUAGACUACUCAGAAAUUUAUUGCCUCAGGAAUAAGGAAAAUGAGGCCUAGUCUAAAGGCUUCUCUGUUUCUAACUAACCAAGCCUAAUAGCAAUGUUUGAAAAGAUCAAGCUACUUCCAAGUAACUUAACUGUAUCAUGAAAAAAAAAGAAGCUCCAGAAUAUUUAUAGGAAUAAAAGAAUUUUCAGUACUCGAUAGAGUACAAUGCACAAUUAGUUUAGCAACUACUAAAAAAUUAUCUGGCAUACAUACUGUCCAAAGCAAUUUAUAGAUUCAAUGCUAUCUCUAUCAAACUACCAAUUCCAUUCUUCACAAAAACUAGAAAAAAACUAAUUUAAAAUUCACUUGGAAACAAAAAAGAGCCCAAAUAACCAAGACAAUCCUAAGCGAAAAAAACAAAGCUGGUAGCAUCACACUACCUGACUUCAAACUGUACUACAAGGCUGCAGUAACCAAAAUAGCAUGGUACUAGUAUAAAAACAAACACAUAGACCAAUGGAAAAAAAUAAAGAGCCCAGAAAUAAGGCCACACACCUUCUUCAACAAAGCUGAAAAUCAAUCUGAUCUUCAACAAAGCUGAAAAAAAAAAAAAACAAGGAAGGGGGAAAGGACUCCCUGUUAAGCAAAUGGUGCUGGGAUAACUGGCUAGCCAUAUGGAGAAGAUUGAAACUGGAUCCCUCCCUUACAUAAUAUACAAAUGUUAACUCAAGAUGGAUUAAAGACUUAAAUGUAAAACUCAAAACUAUAAAAACCAUGGAAGACAACCUAGGUAAUAUCAUUCUGGACAUAGGAAAGGGCAAAUAUUUCAUGACAAAGACACCAAAAGCAAUUGUGACAAAAGCAAAAAAUGGCAAAUAGUAUCUAAUUAAACUGAAGAGCUUCUUCACAGCAAAAGAAACUAUCAGCAGAGUAAAAAGACAACCUACAGAAUGCAACAAAAGCAAAACUUGACAAAUGGAAUCUAAUUAAAGCAGAGAGCUUCUGCACAGCAAAAGAAACUAUCAACAGAGUAAAAAGACAACUUACAGAAUGGGAGAAAAAUUUUGCAAACUCCACAUCUAACAAAGGUCUAGUAUCCAGCACCCAUAAGGAACUUAAAUUUACAAGGGAAAAAAAAAAAACAUUAAAAAGUGGGCAAAGGACAUGAACAGACACUUCUCAAAAGAAGACAUACAUGUGGCCAACAAUCAUAUGAAAAAAAGUUCAACAUCACUGACCAUUACAGAAAUGCAAACCAAAACCACAAUUAGAUAGGAUCUCACACCAGUCAGAAUGACUAUUAUUAAAGAGUAAAAGAAUAACAGGCGCUGGUGAGGUUUUGGAGAAAAAGGAAACCUUAUACACUGUUGGUGGGAGUGUAAAUUAGUUCAGCCAUUGUAGAAGACAGUGUGGUGACUCCUCAAAAACCUAAAGACAGAAAUACCAUUCAACCCAGCAAUCCCAUUACUGAGUAUAUACCCGAAGGAAUAGAAAUCAUUCUAUUAUAAAGACACUUGUAUGCAUAUGUUCACUGCAGAACUAUUCACAAUAGCAAAAACAUGUAAUCCACCUAAAUGUCCAUCAGUGGUAGACUGGAUAAAGAAAAUGUGGUACAUAUGCACCAUGGAAUACUAUGCAACCAUAAAAAAGAAUGAGAUCAUGUCCUUUGCAGGGACAUGGAUGGAGCUGGAGUCCAUUAUCCUUAGCAAACAAAUGCAGGAACAGAAAACCAAAUACUGCAUGUUCUCAUUUAGAAGUGGAAGCUAAAUGAUGAGAACACAUGGACACAGAGAGGGGAACAACACAAACUGGGGCCUUUCAGAGGUUGGAGAGUGGGAAAGAGGGAGAGGAUCAGCAAAAAUAAGUAAUGGGUAUUUGGCUUAAUACCUGGGUAAUGAAAUAAUCUAUACAACAAACCCCCAUGACACAAGUUUACCUAUGUAACAAACCUGCACUUGUACCUCUGAACUUACAAGUUAAAAAAAAAUUAAAGAAUAUCUAAAUAAAGGAAG
Long non-coding RNA from Homo sapiens (human), 2670 nucleotides. Lineage: Eukaryota; Metazoa; Chordata; Mammalia; Primates; Hominidae. The record is from Ensembl.